GGAGGGGACGAGCGUUGUUCGGAAUUACUGGGCGUAAAGCGCGCGUAGGCGGUCAUGCAAGUCGGAUGUGAAAGCCCUCGGCUCAACCGAGGAAUUGCGUCCGGUACUGCUUGGCUUGAGUCCAGUAGGGGAUGGCAGAAUUCCAGAUGUAGCGGUGGAAUGCGUAGAUAUCGGGAGGAAUACCGAUGGCGAAGGCGGCCAUCUGGACCGGAACUGACGCUGAGACGCGAAAGCUAGGAAAGCAAACAGG
RNAcentral lists this ribosomal RNA (250 nucleotides) under uncultured bacterium. RNAcentral describes it as "partial 16S ribosomal RNA". It matches the Rfam family "Bacterial small subunit ribosomal RNA", at positions 527 to 776 of the family's 1533-position model. The record is from RNAcentral.